RNAcentral lists this ribosomal RNA (253 nucleotides) under uncultured bacterium. RNAcentral's name for it is "partial 16S ribosomal RNA". It matches the Rfam family "Bacterial small subunit ribosomal RNA", at positions 524 to 776 of the family's 1533-position model. The record is from RNAcentral.
UACAGAGGUCUCAAGCGUUGUUCGGAUUCAUUGGGCGUAAAGGGUGCGUAGGUGGCGAGGUUAGUCAGGUGUGAAAUCUCGGGGCUCAACCCCGAAACUGCACUUGAUACUGCCUUGCUAGAGUACUGGAGAGGAGAUUGGAAUUUACGGUGUAGCAGUGAAAUGCGCAGAUAUUAGGAAGAACACCGGUGGCGAAGGCGGCUCUCUGGAACGGUACUGACGCUGAGACGCGAAAGCGUGGGGAGCGAACAGG